RNAcentral lists this ribosomal RNA (253 nucleotides) under uncultured bacterium. Its description in RNAcentral is "partial 16S ribosomal RNA". It matches the Rfam family "Bacterial small subunit ribosomal RNA", at positions 524 to 776 of the family's 1533-position model. The record is from RNAcentral.
UACGAAGGGGGCUAGCGUUGUUCGGAUUUACUGGGCGUAAAGCGCACGUAGGCGGGUUGUUAAGUCAGGGGUGAAAUCCUGGAGCUCAACUCCAGAACUGCCUUUGAUACUGGCAACCUAGAGGCUGGAAGAGGUUAGUGGAAUUCCCAGUGUAGAGGUGAAAUUCGUAGAUAUUGGGAAGAACACCAGUGGCGAAGGCGGCUCACUGGCCCGGUACUGACGCUGAUGUGCGAAAGCGUGGGGAGCAAACAGG